UCUGUUCCUGCAUUCAUCUACGUGGUAGUCGCGCGCCCCAGCUCUGGCGACUCCAGAUUGGGACGGAGUUGGGGUUGUACACCGCCCGUGGUGCAUUUGCAGGCGUGUGCGCUGAGCUGUUCGAGGUGUUGGGAUGAACUUGGUUUUGAGGCCAGCUUGCUGGUACCCGGACCGGGGGAGUGCCAUUCGCCUUGGGCUUUAUGUUGGAUAUGGCUUACGGGCUCGUAUGGGCGCCGAGCUGGUCGUCGGCGGCGGUCGCAUGCGACACGUGCUGUGCGUGCCAGUUCGGUCCUGUGCGAGCUCACAUGUCCCAGGCUCAGUGUAAGAGCUGGUCAUCUAUCCGACCCGUCUUGAAACACGGACCAAGGAGUUUAUCGUGUGCGCAAGUCAUUGGGUGUUGAAAACCCAGAGGCGCAAUGAAAGUGAAGGUAUCCCUCGCGGAGCCGACGUGCGAGCACGGGCACUGCGGUGUCCGAGUGCAGCAUGGCCCCAUCCUGACUGCUUGCAGUGGGGUGGAGGGAGAGCGUACGCGGUGAGACCCGAAAGAUGGUGAACUAUUCCUGAGCAGGAUGAAGCCAGAGGA
This 583-nucleotide ribosomal RNA is filed under the name Pratylenchus thornei. Its description in RNAcentral is "eukaryotic LSU rRNA". It matches the Rfam family "Eukaryotic large subunit ribosomal RNA", at positions 433 to 859 of the family's 3401-position model. The record is from RNAcentral. Lineage: Eukaryota; Metazoa; Nematoda; Chromadorea; Rhabditida; Pratylenchidae.